RNAcentral lists this ribosomal RNA (495 nucleotides) under uncultured bacterium. Its description in RNAcentral is "partial 16S ribosomal RNA". It matches the Rfam family "Bacterial small subunit ribosomal RNA", at positions 28 to 507 of the family's 1533-position model. The record is from RNAcentral.
GACGAACGCUGGCGGCGUGCCUAAUACAUGCAAGUAGAACGCUGAAGGAGGAGCUUGCUUCUCUGGAUGAGUUGCAAACGUGUGAGUAACGCGUAGGUAACCUGCCUGGUAGCGGGGGAUAACUAUUGGAAACGAUAGCUAAUACCGCAUAAUAUUGACUAUUGCAUGAUAGUCAGUUGAAAGGUGCUACUGCACCACUACCAGAUGGACCUGCGUUGUAUUAGCUAGUUGGUGGGGUAACGGCUCACCAAGGCGACGAUACAUAGCCGACCUGAGAGGGUGAUCGGCCACACUGGGACUGAGACACGGCCCAGACUCCUACGGGAGGCAGCAGUAGGGAAUCUUCGGCAAUGGACGGAAGUCUGACCGAGCAACGCCGCGUGAGUGAAGAAGGUUUUCGGAUCGUAAAGCUCUGUUGUAAGAGAAGAACGAGUGUGAGAGUGGAAAGCUCACACUGUGACGGUAGCUUACCAGAAAGGGACGGCUAACUACGUG